GAUGAACGCUAGCUACAGGCUUAACACAUGCAAGUCGAGGGGAAACGACAUCGAAAGCUUGCUUUUGAUGGGCGUCGACCGGCGCACGGGUGAGUAACGCGUAUCCAACCUGCCCACCACUUGGGGAUAACCUUGCGAAAGUAAGACUAAUACCCAAUGAUAUCUCUAGAAGGCAUCAGAAAGAGAUUAAAGAUUUAUCGGUGAUGGAUGGGGAUGCGUCUGAUUAGCUUGUUGGCGGGGUAACGGCCCACCAAGGCUACGAUCAGUAGGGGUUCUGAGAGGAAGGUCCCCCACAUUGGAACUGAGACACGGUCCAAACUCCUACGGGAGGCAGCAGUGAGGAAUAUUGGUCAAUGGACGAGAGUCUGAACCAGCCAAGUAGCGUGCAGGAUGACGGCCCUAUGGGUUGUAAACUGCUUUUAUAAGGGAAUAAAGUGAGUCUCGUGAGACUUUUUGCAUGUACCUUAUGAAUAAGGACCGGCUAAUUCCGUGCCAGCCGCCGCAGUAA
Molecule: ribosomal RNA, 508 nt
Filed under: uncultured bacterium
Lineage: Bacteria
Description: partial 16S ribosomal RNA
Rfam family: Bacterial small subunit ribosomal RNA
Source: RNAcentral